Molecule: ribosomal RNA, 801 nt
Filed under: uncultured Bacteroidota bacterium
Lineage: Bacteria; Pseudomonadati; Bacteroidota
Description: bacterial SSU rRNA
Rfam family: Bacterial small subunit ribosomal RNA
Source: RNAcentral
UAGAGUAGCAAUACUUUACCAAGAGUGACGCACGGGUGCGUAACACGUAUGCAACCUACCCUUUACAGGGGUAUAGCUCGGGGAAACUCGAAUUAACACCCCAUAAUAUAAUUGAAUGGCAUCAUUUGGUUAUUAAAUCUGCGGAGGUAAAGGAUGGGCAUGCGUCUGAUUAGCUAGUUGGUAGUGUAAUGGACUACCAAGGCGAUGAUCAGUAGGGGAACUGAGAGGUUGAUCCCCCACACUGGCACUGAGAUACGGGCCAGACUCCUACGGGAGGCAGCAGUAGGGAAUAUUGGUCAAUGGGUGAGAGCCUGAACCAGCCAUGCCGCGUGCAGGAAGACGGCCUUCUGGGUUGUAAACUGCUUUUGCCAGGGGCUAAAAAGCUCAUGCGUGAGAAAUUGAAAGUACCUGGUGAAUAAGCCACGGCUAACUACGUGCCAGCAGCCGCGGUAAUACGUAGGUGGCAAGCGUUGUCCGGAUUUAUUGGGUUUAAAGGGUGCGUAGGCGGCCAUGUAAGUCAGUGCUGAAAUAUCCCGGCUUAACUGGGAGGGUGGCAUUGAUACUGCGUGGCUAGAGUACAGAUGAGGUAGGCGGAAUUGACGGUGUAGCGGUGAAAUGCUUAGAUAUCGUCAAGAACACCUAUAGCGAAGGCAGCUUACUAGGCUGUAACUGACGCUGAGGCACGAAAGUGUGGGGAUCAAACAGGAUUAGAUACCCUGGUAGUCCACACUGUAAACGUUGAUUACUCGCUGUGUGCGAUAUACAGUACGCGGCCAAGCGAAAGCGCUAAGUAAUCCACCU